CUGCUGCCUCCCGUAGGAGUCUGGUCCGUGUCUCAGUACCAGUGUGGGGGACCUUCCUCUCAGAACCCCUACGCAUCGUCGGUUAGGUGGGCCGUUACCCCGCCUACUGCCUAAUGCGCCGCAUGCCCAUCCCUGUCCGGCCGAAGCCUUUCCUGCCUCCGGGAUGCCCCGGUGGCAUGUACGCGGGUUUAGCCCGCCUUUCGGCGGGUUGUCCCCCUGACAGGAGCAGGUUGCAUACGUGUUACUCACCCGUGCGCCGGUCGCCGGCGGAAG
RNAcentral lists this ribosomal RNA (273 nucleotides) under uncultured bacterium. Its description in RNAcentral is "partial 16S ribosomal RNA". The record is from RNAcentral.